CCUUGUUUUGUCCUAAAUUAUAUAGAUUUGUGAGUAUUUCUUGUGUAGAAUUGAAAUAUGUGUGGAAUGGUAUCAAGUACCCUUAAGACAGACUUUGAAAAAUUUGAUGAAAAGAAAAAUUUCAUCCUUUGGCAGCAAAGAAUGAAGGAUUUGUUAGUUCAGAAUAGAAUCUACAAGGUUUUGAUCAGGGAUAGGCCUGAAA
This 202-nucleotide long non-coding RNA is filed under the name Elaeis guineensis (African oil palm). RNAcentral's name for it is "long non-coding RNA (EGUI_LNC068477)". Lineage: Eukaryota; Viridiplantae; Streptophyta; Magnoliopsida; Arecales; Arecaceae. The record is from RNAcentral.